UACGUAGGGUGCAAGCGUUACUCGGAAUUACUGGGCGUAAAGGGUGCGUAGGUGGUUUGUUAAGUCUGAUGUGAAAGCCCUGGGCUCAACCUGGGAACUGCAUUGGAUACUGGCUUACUAGAGUGCGGUAGAGGGUGGCGGAAUUCCCGGUGUAGCAGUGAAAUGCGUAGAUAUCGGGAGGAACAUCCGUGGCGAAGGCGGCCACCUGGACCAGCACUGACACUGAGGCACGAAAGCGUGGGGAGCAAACAGG
Molecule: ribosomal RNA, 253 nt
Filed under: uncultured bacterium
Lineage: Bacteria
Description: partial 16S ribosomal RNA
Rfam family: Bacterial small subunit ribosomal RNA
Source: RNAcentral